This 221-nucleotide long non-coding RNA is filed under the name Homo sapiens (human). Its description in RNAcentral is "HSALNT0167672". The record is from RNAcentral. Lineage: Eukaryota; Metazoa; Chordata; Mammalia; Primates; Hominidae.
GUGCUUGAAGAAUAAGCCAUUUCUUCACUCUGUGAUCAUUUACCCAACAAAGGGGGAGCAGCUGAGGGUCGCAAGGGUAACAGAUGAGCAAGGUACAGCAAUGGCUGUGAAGGUGCCGCCUGUCUGGUUGCUAUUCUGGAGGACAGAAGCAGUGUCAUCUUUGGGUCCCUGGAGUCACAAUCACCACAGUUACUUUGGGUACCUGAUUCCGGGUCCCUAAA